UUAUUUAAAAAAAAUGAUCAAAAAAUGGUAUAAAAUUUAAUACACACUACCACAGGUCAGUCAAAAAAAAACUCAAAAUGAAACUUUUAAUAUUUACUGUUUUCCUACUUUCUGUGACACUUUAUAAUUAUGUUUCAGGAGAGAUAGAAUGCUACGAUUGUGUUGGUGAUGAGCUUUGUUCGAAAAGUUUGGAGGAACAGAAAGUCACUUGUAGCUCCCAACAAAAUUAUUGUGUCAGUGGAUGGAAAAAUAAUAAAGGCAAUAAAUUAAAAUUCAAAGGUUGUUCUUACGCAAAGAACGAAGAGCGUGCACAAGAAUUCUGCAACUAUUUUAUCAAACAAGGAGGCGAGUGUAAAUGAUGUGAAGAGAAUUAUUGUAACGAGAAAACAACUUGGGAAGAAUAAUAAUAAAAAAUAAAGUGUGAAGUAACUUUG
Long non-coding RNA from Tribolium castaneum (red flour beetle), 434 nucleotides. RefSeq lists it as uncharacterized. The transcript is spliced from 3 exons. NCBI's taxonomy places the organism in Eukaryota, Metazoa, Arthropoda, Insecta, Coleoptera, Tenebrionidae. The record is from RefSeq and is a predicted model, not a curated record.